GUUGAUUUACCACAUUGUUGAGUGCUAAAACAACCAUUGUGCACAAACACCAAACCUGUAGUUGUGAGACUUGUUCUCAUCUACCUUCACUGAUGAUAUGCGUGGCCCAAGCCCAAUUGUCUUAGUUUAGCAUUUCUUUUACUUGUAUUGUACAUGAGUAAUAUGUGUAAGGCAUGUGGGACUUCUAGUCCUAUAUAAAGGCAUGCCCACACCUUUUGUAAUCACUUUUGAGAUAUUGAAUUAAUUUUAUGUUGAGAGAACUCCAGAAUUAAUUCCUUGAAAGUCAAGGCUGGAGAAUCUAAGGGAUUCCCUCAGCCACCUUCCAUUCACAUUUUCAUUUCUUCAAUAUCCAUUAACAAUUCUAACUCUUCCACCGUACCAUAUCUCUCCUCCACCUAAGCAAUUCCUUUCACGACACUCGUUCCAAUCCGCAGCCUCCGCAUGGCGUAUGUUAGCACUUCUUUUCCACGCUACAUUUUCAUUCUCGCGCACCACAGAAUCACACUCUUAUAUUUUCUCCUUCGAAGCAACUUCUCUACUAGGGUUUCUGUCACUCGAGCACCGAGCUUCGUCUUCCACCUUAGAUCCACGCUCCUUCCACCGGUAAACUUGUGUUCCUUCCUAGAUCCGCUUUCUUCCACCCUCUUCUUGCAUUUUAUCUGAUUGAUUUCUCCAUAUCCUUCAUUUUUACCGAUUAAAGUCGAGAUCCUUUCCAUUCCACCGAUUCAAUCAGUGAAAUCUCUCUUUUCACCGAUUAAAACCUCACAAAUCCCCCAACCUAGCAACUACACCGAACAAACCUUCAAAAUCUAGGGUUCAAUGGCUAAGUUCUUUGUCAUCCGCUGUGCUGCUCACGGUUCUUCGUCGAUCUGAGUUGCUUCUCUGUUUUGAGUUUCAAUUUUGUAUUGUGUUGAUUCACAUAUCUGUUUGCUUGUAGUUUUGUUUGAUUCUGUCUUGAUUCCAUGUAUCUUAUGUUGUUUCCUUACAUUCCUGAGUUGUUCAUCAUUUUCAUUCACUGUCUUGAUGAGUUUGGAUUCAAUGUUUGUGUUGUUUGUUGUUCUGCAUUUAGAUUUCAAUAUUGUGAUUUUGUGUAUAUUGUGUGUUGAGUUGUU
RNAcentral lists this long non-coding RNA (1112 nucleotides) under Vigna radiata. Its description in RNAcentral is "long non-coding RNA (VRAD_LNC006067)". Lineage: Eukaryota; Viridiplantae; Streptophyta; Magnoliopsida; Fabales; Fabaceae. The record is from RNAcentral.